Molecule: ribosomal RNA, 434 nt
Filed under: Parvimonas micra
Lineage: Bacteria; Bacillati; Bacillota; Tissierellia; Tissierellales; Peptoniphilaceae
Description: bacterial SSU rRNA
Rfam family: Bacterial small subunit ribosomal RNA
Source: RNAcentral
GACGAACGCUGGCGGCGUGCUUAACACAUGCAAGUCGAACGUGAUUUUUAAGGAAAGCCCUUCGGGGAAGGAAUUAAAAUGAAAGUGGCGAACGGGUGAGUAACACGUGAGCAACCUACCUUACACAGGGGGAUAGCCGUUGGAAACGACGAUUAAUACCGCAUGAGACCACAGAACCGCAUGGUAUAGGGGUCAAAGAUUUAUUGGUGUAAGAAGGGCUCGCGUCUGAUUAGCUAGUUGGAAGGGUAAAGGCCUACCAAGGCGACGAUCAGUAGCCGGUCUGAGAGGAUGAACGGCCACAUUGGAACUGAGACACGGUCCAAACUCCUACGGGAGGCAGCAGUGGGGAAUAUUGCACAAUGGGGGGAACCCUGAUGCAGCGACGCCGCGUGAGCGAAGAAGGUUUUUCGAAUCGUAAAGCUCUGUCCUAUGAG